UUUCUCUGCACCCUUGCAUUAUCCCCUGUCCUUCCAAAAAUGAAAAUGUUGGAUGUUGGGGGCUGUAUUACAGGGGAGACUUCAGGAUAGGAGGGGAGAAACCUUUGGCACCCAGGACAUUGAAUCCGGUAGAGCACUUUAGUAGGAUUUGUGUCCUAUGCCUGGGUCCUGGGUCAUCUACCAACCCAGAAUCUUGGGACUUUGCGUCUGUCUGACCCUGUAUUAUUCUGCGAGUCUUUCAUUUUGGCGCUGUACCACUCAGAGCAAAGGAACAAAGAUUCUGCCCGGUGGAAUCCGUGCAUGUCGGUGUAAAGGGGGAUUGCCCCACGGCCCAUGAGAAGGGCGGAAAUGACUGAGGCCCUAGCCCUAACUUGGGCGCAUUAAGGACUCUCUCCACCUAUAUUACUGCUUUUUUAUGUAGGAAAAAAAGGAUAUGACACAGCCUAACAGAAAAAUGGUUGUUAAAGGCGGAGGAUGGGAAGGGGGUAGGAAUGCGUUGGGGAGGAGAAUCGAAGAGAUCCUUUGGUCUUUCUCUCCGCCCAUUUUCCAUACUUCCUCUUCCCCUUUCCCCCAACUCUCUAUUUCCAGUCAUCCCAAAGGGGUGUGGUUUUUGCUGGGAAAAUGGCCGUGGGCUGGAGAUGGAGGGCAUGGGUGGAUGCAAUGCAGGUAGCGGGCUGAUGUCCGCGGGGUCCUGAGAAGUGGGGAAAGGAUGAGAAAACAAAAGGUAAAAUCUGUUUAACUACCAGAACCUUGCAUUUGGAAAAGCUGCUAUUGGGACUCUGAAGUGCUGCACUGUCUGCCCAUCCAUCUGUUUCUGCUGAGUCGCCAGUCUGUCUGUGGGUCUUGCGCCUGAAGGUCUAUCAGACCUGAGAGCAGGAAGAAAAGGAACAUUGUCCAGAAACAAGUUUGUAGAACACUGCACUUCCAGGCAAGAAA
Long non-coding RNA from Phyllostomus discolor (pale spear-nosed bat), 936 nucleotides. RefSeq lists it as uncharacterized. Lineage: Eukaryota; Metazoa; Chordata; Mammalia; Chiroptera; Phyllostomidae. The transcript has 2 exons. The record is from RefSeq and is a predicted model, not a curated record.